This 883-nucleotide long non-coding RNA is filed under the name Lupinus angustifolius (narrow-leaved blue lupine). RNAcentral describes it as "long non-coding RNA (LANG_LNC000252)". Lineage: Eukaryota; Viridiplantae; Streptophyta; Magnoliopsida; Fabales; Fabaceae. The record is from RNAcentral.
GCACUCAUAAGAAUUCUUACAUAACAUCAUCUAGAUCAUUGUGAGGAUAUUCAAUUUAAAAUCACAUUCACAAGAAUGUUAUACUAUUUAUAAUAAAGGUGUUCAUAUAAUUACAAAGAACCUCAAACACCACUACAUACAUAAUUACUGUCUACCAAAGUCAUGAUUCUCACAACUCUAUACCCCCAUAGACAUCUCUUACAGUGGCUAAAUAAAAAAGCAUUGCAUAAUCUCAUCAAAUAAUUGACUAAAAAAUCAUCCCUGAAUUAGACUCACCAUAUGCAAGCAUUCAUAGUCAAUUGUUACUUGGAUAAUUUCACAUUAUAUUCAUAUGCUCACAAAAAAACAAAUAAUAAAAAAUACGAACCCUUAAUUUGCCAUUCACGAUGCUAAUAAAUAAGAAUCCAGCACCAUAGUCCAUUAUAUUUGGUCUUUUAGCACUGGUUGCCAACUUCUUUGGCCUAUCCACCAUAUCUCGCCACCUAGUUUGCACUGUAGCCUCGCCGGACCAAGAGAAGGAGAAGAAAAAGAAUAGGGGUCAUUAGCUUCUCCUCAUCCACCUUAACCCUUUGUCCUGACUACCUUAAUUAAGAAGCAGAAUCGAUAUGAGAAUAUGAGUCCGAUUCGAAACCACUGUGAGCCGUCGUGCGAGUAAGAACCUAAAUCUUAGCCACCAUGAAGAUUGGGGUUUCAUUGUUGAGAACCACCGCAAACCACCAUCAUUGCCAUGCCGGACAGAUGGAGAAGACGAAAUUCAGAGAUGACCCCCUUUGUUACUACCAUUAACCGGAGAAGAGAUGAUGAAAGGAUGGUGAAGAUUUCAACCCAAUUUGGGGUUCUUAGUGGAACGAAGCCCACUGUUGGGGCUUUUUAAUUAGCUUAG